Molecule: long non-coding RNA, 680 nt
Organism: Rhea pennata
Lineage: Eukaryota; Metazoa; Chordata; Aves; Rheiformes; Rheidae
Exons: 2
Source: RefSeq, a predicted model, not a curated record
CGUAAAGUUUCAGAUCGGCCCUGAGCUGCAGGAAGCUGCUGGAGCUGCAAGAAAAAUCCCGUUUCUUCCAGAUGUGCCCGUUAUUCACAGGAGCCUGAGGAAUCCUUCCUGGGUAUAUCUGCCUCGUGCAGGUCUGCUGCGGGGAGGCAGCGCAUCCCUCGGCUGAACCUGCUCUUCCUUGGACGCAUCCAGAAGAGGGAAAGCCAAGCCCUGGGCGUCGAGAGGAAGCCGAGCAGCUCGGCGCUCGUGGGGUGUGCAGGGCUCCCAGCAGCGCCUCUCAGCCCCGGUCCCCUCGGACCGAUGCCUGCGCUGGGGGAAAUGCCUGGCGCGAGGAGGCACCAGCUAGUGGGCUUUCUGAGAAAAGAGGAAGCCGGGGGAGGGAGAGACCGGCAUCCCCGGGCCAGUGGCACCGUCACUACCAGGACGCGGCUGGCCGGCGCGAGGGGGAGCAGCCCGUGCUUCCGCGGUGGGGAGCGUGGGCGCGGGGCGCCUGCUUUCCCGGGAAGCCGGGGGGCUUUCCCGGCCGAGCAGAGAGGGGAGAGCCCGAGCUUCACCCGGCUCAGCCCGGCAGGGCAAAGCGCUGCCGCUGCUUUGCUCCUUUGCAGGCUGAACUGUAGGUUUCCUACCAAACUUUUUGUCCAUUUUUUUUAAUAAUAAUAAUAAAAAAGCAGGCAGCCCGC